AUAUAUAUAGUGACUGCCUCUAAUCUAUAAAUAUUGAAGGAUGUUAAUCUUUUUGGUCACAUAUUUAUAUUGUUGCUUUUUUUAUUUGAUAUUAGAGUAUAUGAUCUAUGUAAUCUCUACUUUUUAAAUGUACAGCUUUCAAGCAAAUGUAUGAUUUUUUCAUAAAUGGACAUAAGAUUGAUUAUAUAUAUAUGUACGUGUGUGUGCAGAGAUUAUAUAUAUACAUACAUGCAUAUAUUCGUGUAUACAUUUGCAUAUUAUAAUUUAUCUACUGUUAUUCACUUUCUCACCUUCCUUGCCUGAUUUUGACCUUUAAUCUUGAAAUAAUUUUAUUAACUAUAUACUAUAGUUUGCUUUUUCUCACCUCUCCUUACAUUUUCAAUAUAAUUUCUUUCCAAAUAUUUAGGAUGUAUAUUGUGUUAUAAUUGCUAUAUCAACAUGAAUUGUGCCUAUUAUGAUUGUAAAAGUCCCUCUUUACACUGCUUUUUACUUUUGAGCUUAUAUCUAAGAUUUUCUGAUGAAAUAUUGACAUUUUUGCCUUUCUUAAUUUUGCAUUUGCCUGGUAUCUCUUGGCUUUUCCCUUUAUUUUCAACCGUUCUUUAUCACUUGGUCUGAAGCAAGUUUCUUGUAACAGCACAUUGCUCGAUUUUGUUUUUUUAACCUAAUUUGACAGCUUUUGUCUUUUUAUAGAAUAUUCAGUAAGAGGAUUCAGUUUUCAGAAUGAACUAGAGCACAGAAGGGGGACUGCCUCUGCAUAUUUAAGUAGAUUGUAUUCCAAAGAUAUGAACAUUGUUGAGGCAGGAGAACUAACUAGCUUCUUACAUAGAAAGGUGUUUCUAUAGGGAAUGCUCCACAGAAUUCCAAUUAAUUGUUUCACAGAUUAAGAGAGUCACCAGGGUUCCCUUGUAACAUUUCUCAUCAAAGAGUGUUCUAUAGGGAAGAGAUAAAACCUAAACAGUCCCGGAAGCUGAGACAAGAAACUGAAAAAAAAAGGAAAGUGAGCAACAAGAUAAUGUAAGUCACAACUGAGCCAAUUAAGGAGCAGGAGAUGCAGCAGCAUGUCCCAAACAAAACUGAUUGGAGGUCAAGUGUGGACAACCAGAGCAAGUUCUUGCACAGCUAAUGUAUCCCCAGGUGUGAACUGAGUAACAUGAAGAAAGGCAUCCUCCUGCCACCUCCUGGCAUGAUUUUAGGCGUUUUGCAUGAACUCUAAUUCAUUGAAAUGUAACAACCUUAUAAGGUCCCUGCAGGACCAUGUCACCCAAAAUAAUGCAUCAGAUAUAAGGACUUGUCUUUUACUCAUUUACUUCUUGGACCUACUUAGAAAACUGUGGCAGCACUGUUUUGUUAUUAUUGUCUUAAGUGCAUGAUCCAACUUGGAAAGGUUCCAGGUGUGUCUUAGUUUUGAAGCUUCACAGCAGCUGAGUAGUAGUGUGUGGUGAGCAUAACAAAUACCUAAAACUUUCAGGAAGGUGAAUCCUUCUCUCUGACCGUGGGAACUAUGGUCUGAAGAUGAAUGCCAAUCGCAAGAUAAUUCAAAUAUUGAAAUUAUGAAACAAUGACUUCCAAAUCAGCUAUGAUAAUGUGAUCUACAAGCUAAGGUCUAAUAUCCUCAAAACAAAUGGAAAGACAGAACAUCUUAGCAGGGAAAUAAAAGAUUCAACUGGCUCAUGGUUUGUACCGGGGGAACCAAGCCCAUGGUUGGGAUCCAGGGGUCCCUCCAGUCUCCUGUUCCAUGGUCGCACACACCUUGAGGGCACCCACACGGUUUGAUCGUCUCCUUAUAUUGCUGCUGGCAGACUCGUGACGGGGUUUCUCAUUCAUCUGGGUGUACAAGAAGCAUGGUGCCAGCAUCUGCUCAGCUUCUGAUGAGGGCUCUGGGAAGCUUUUACUCAUGGAGGAAGGCAAGGGGAACCAGCAUGUCACAUGAUGAGAAAGGAAGCAUGAGAGAGAGGUGCCAGACUCUUCAACAACCAGAAGAGAAAGUCAGAGAGAAUCAAAGCAUGUGAAGAGAGACCUCACGCAAGGAGGUCUAGGAGCCUAGAGUGAUCUUCAGCCAACAGUCAAAAAGAUAACUGGGACAACCACAAGGAACUGACUUCUAUAAGAGAAAUGAGCCUGGAAAAGGACUCCAAGCUUCAGAUGAAAAUGUAGUUGGCUGACACUUUGAUUUUAGUCUUGUGAAACCCUAAGCAGAGAAUCCAAGUAAGUCCCCCUGAACUUCUCACCUAAAGAACAAUGAGUUAAUAAAUAAGGGGUAUGAUAAGUCAUGAAAUAUGUGGUAAUUUAUUACAAAACAAUAUAUAAUGAUACAGAUACCUAUCUGGUAGCCAGAUAUUAUCCUAAGUAUUUUCCACAAGACAUUUAAUUUGAUUUAAUUAACACGCAACUCCAUAAGAGACAGAUCCUUUUAACUAUUUUGCAGGUGGUAAACUGAGGCUCAAGUAAUUUAUGUGAUUUGUCUAAGGUCCCAUAGGCUAUAAGUGUCAGAGCCCAGAUUGAGAAGUGUUUGGCUGUUCAUGCAAGUGCAAGCAGCUUUCAUUAAACUAUUCGCAGAAGUCUGUCAGAAUAGCUAGCAAGGAUACCAACUAUCUAGGGAAAGUCACACCAAAGGAGUGACCCAAAGAAACACAUUUUAACCUGAACUGCCUGGUAAUACACUGAAGGCAAAUCAGCCCCAAAGACUAAAAUUGUUAAUUUUCUGUGAUUCCUCGCUGUUUUAUUUAAUAUAAUAUGACCUUAACCUAGUCUUGAUAUUUGAUUUCUGAACAAUGAGUCAAGAGAGUUGCCUUCUCUAUGUAGUAGUACUUUACUGUUGUCAAAGACUUGUCCUUUGGUGCUUCAUAUUUUGCUUUACCUACAUGGAACAUUGCUAAUUUAGGUGAUAGCCUAACUAUUUAUAGUUAAAUACACCCACCAAGUUCCCUUUACCCUUCAAAUUAACUAAAAAGAAACAACUUCCUACUUCUUACACCACAUAAAAUUCAUAUUUUGCUUUAAAUGUAAUUUUUCAGCAAAGAGCCUAGUGGAGUUCACUUAAAACUAACCAAAUCAGCUGUUAAAAUUGUCCAUUUGAUCACAUGGGUUAUAGGCAUAGUUAUUUGACUGAGUUAUGACAAUGCUCAGAAACAGAAAAGACAGUCAAAGGUUAUCAUGUAAGUUCAAUAAAAAUUCAACAGUUGUUUUUAAAGAUUUUCAUAUGAUAAUAUUGUUUCACUUUCUAUUACCCAUAUUUGAUUUCAUUUACAAAUAAAAUACUACCCACUCUAUGAAUCAUGCUUUUAUCUCAAAUAUAUCUAGAGUGAAUCUCUAUGAUUUUUAGAAUACAGAAAUAUACAUUUUAAAAAGAUUUUAACAUUUAUUGUAAAUAAUUUAAGACAACUUUUAGAUAUAUCACGUGAGUGUUUAACUCAAUUUUCAUGACCCAGCUGGCCCAAAUUAGUCUUUUUUAUAAAUUGUUUUUUGAGUUGAAAUUAUUCUUUCACACCUAAAGAACUCUAUCUGAUGCUCUAGAGAGAAAUAUUCAAUUGAACUUCACAAUGUAGAACAUUUCCUGCAUUCUCCAUUGUAGACUGUGAUGAAUAAAUCAAUAUGUGCUUACUAAAAACAAAUGAUACAAUUUAAGGAAAUAUAUUAUUUUGAGUCCUGAUUCAAAGAAAAUAACCAAAUAUUUAAAAUUUAUUUAAAAUUUGUACUGUUUAUUUAUAUAAUUAUAACAUCUUCAAAAUCAAUAAUGAUUUUCUUCAUUUAGUAUUUAAACAUAACUAUUUUCUCAUAGUACUAGAGUCGCCAUAAGCAUCACUCUAUGGCUAUAUAAUUUCUGACAUGUGCUUUUAUUGGAAUUCAUUAAUAAUUUCAUUAUUUUUAGGUAUUUAGAUCAUGGCCCACUUUCCCCUACAACCACGAUACCUGUUUAAAUUGACAAAUCAUAGUUGUAUGGAUUUACGGGGCAAAAUGUGAUGUUUUGAUAUACGUAUAUGAUACAGUUUGAUUAAAUCAAGCUGCUUUAACAUAUCCAUCAUCCUGCUUACCUAUCAUUUUUAAUAAUGAGAUAUUUGAAAUGUAUUCUCUUAGUUAUUUUCAAAUACAUAAUACAUUAUUAUUGACUGUAGUCAUCCUGGUGUGCAAUGAAUCUCAAGAUGAAUAUUUCCAUGAACAUUAAAAAAAAUUCUUCCAUUUUGAAAUGUCACUUUUCAUUAAUUGUGACUCUGAUACUUCUCCGCUUGACAUCUCCACUUAUGCAAUAAAAAAAUUCAUUGUACACUUUAUCUUCUAGGGACUUGACACGUGCAAGCCCUUCACUUUCAUUUUUUUCUAAGCCAGCUUUCUCCAUCCCCUCAUAUCAAUGCCUCAGCAUCCAGUGAUUAAAUCCCAGCAUUUCUAUCACAGUUUAUCUCCAUCACAAUAUUUCCUGUUUUGCAGUAUAACUGGUGAUUAACUUUAAUUACAAUCAUGACUACUCUAUAGCAGAGGCCAAAAUGAUGAUUACACAUCAUGUUUCAUAAUAUUUUUCAGUUAGAUGAAGCUUCAGUGCAGCUACCCUGCUAAAAUAACUAAUUUGCAUAUCAUUAUAUAGAGUUCAAAUGAACUUAUUUUAUCCACUCCCACCCAUUAGUCAUCUUAUUGCAGUUUAGAAAAUAUAUUGACUCUGGACCAUGAGUCUGUAGGUGAAGGUAACAGUUAUAAUGAUGAAAAAAAAUUUUCUCAGGUCAUUCUGUAUUUUUCCUGAUUUAAUUGAUUAUAUCACUCAUAGGCCAUCAAGGCACCACUAGAAACUUUUCUAUUAAACAUAGUACUGGAAGUUCCAGCCAGGGCAAUCAGUCAAGAGAAAGAAAUAAAGGGUAUUCAAAUAGG
Molecule: long non-coding RNA, 4854 nt
Filed under: Homo sapiens (human)
Lineage: Eukaryota; Metazoa; Chordata; Mammalia; Primates; Hominidae
Description: HSALNT0351573
Source: RNAcentral